Molecule: long non-coding RNA, 445 nt
Organism: Eptesicus fuscus (big brown bat)
Lineage: Eukaryota; Metazoa; Chordata; Mammalia; Chiroptera; Vespertilionidae
Exons: 4
Source: RefSeq, a predicted model, not a curated record
CUUUGAAGAAAAAGGGAGAGUCACACAGCAUCCCCCAUAGGACAGAAGACACAGAGAUGGCAGAAGGGGCCUCUCUGCCGGCAAAGAAGACUUUCUAGUAUGCUGGGAAGGUAAUCUUUGACAGUGCCUGGUGGGGCCUCAAAGAGACCCUGGAAAACCACUGACAGAUGGCAAGAGCCAGAGGGACCUUAGCAGUCAUCCAGCCUCCUCAUUUUACUGCUUAAGGAUACUUACAGCUUCCUCGGCUUGUCUCUUGUAAGAUUUCACCUUUGCCUGAAGUUUAUCUACCAAAUCUUGAAGCCUGAGAAUAUUUUUCCGAUCUUCUUCCGUCUGAAAGAAUAAAAAGCGUAGAACUUUACUUCUAAAUAACAUGGUGGUUAUAUCAUUGCAUAUGAGUAUUUCACGUAUAUAUGGAGAAGAACUUAGUUGAUAAAAAUUCUUGCUG